UCUGUGAUGAUGAGGAGCGCAGGGGUACGGACCUCAGCCAAUGAUGGUGGCUGAGUGCUGCUGCAGGCCUUCUGAUUGGAGGACGAGUGGUCCACUGCCAGAAGGACAGCAGCACGAGACAGACGCUGGUCUGAACAGA
Small nucleolar RNA from Sander lucioperca (pikeperch), 139 nucleotides. The record is from Ensembl. NCBI's taxonomy places the organism in Eukaryota, Metazoa, Chordata, Actinopteri, Perciformes, Percidae.